AGAACUUAGCAGAGAUGCUUUGGUGCCUUCGGGAACUCUGAGACAGGUGCUGCAUGGCUGUCGUCAGCUCGUGUUGUGAAAUGUUGGGUUAAGUCCCGCAACGAGCGCAACCCUUAUCCUUUGUUGCCAGCGGUCCGGCCGGGAACUCAAAGGAGACUGCCAGUGAUAAACUGGAGGAAGGUGGGGAUGACGUCAAGUCAUCAUGGCCCUUACGAGUAGGGCUACACACGUGCUACAAUGGCGCAUACAAAGAGAAGCGACCUCGCGAGAGCAAGCGGACCUCAUAAAGUGCGUCGUAGUCCGGAUUGGAGUCUGCAACUCGACUCCAUGAAGUCGGAAUCGCUAGUAAUCGUAGAUCAGAAUGCUACGGUGAAUACGUUCCCGGGCCUUGUACACACCGCCCGUCACACCAUGGGAGUGGGUUGCAAAAGAAGUAGGUAGCUUAACUUUCGGGAGGGCGCUUACCACUUUGUGAUUCAUGACUGGGGUGAAGUCGUAACAAGGUAGGCGUAGCGAG
Molecule: ribosomal RNA, 517 nt
Filed under: uncultured bacterium
Lineage: Bacteria
Description: bacterial SSU rRNA
Rfam family: Bacterial small subunit ribosomal RNA
Source: RNAcentral